AAACCUAGUCCCAGUUCGGACUGGAGUCUGCAACCCGACUCCACGAAGUUGGAUUCGCUAGUAAUCGCGCAUCAGCCAUGGCGCGGUGAAUACGUUCCCGGGCCUUGUACACACCGCCCGUCAAGCCAUGGGAGCCGGGGGCGCCUGAAGUCCGGGACCGCGAGGACCGGCCUAGGGCGAAACUGGUGACUGGGGCUAAGUCGUAACAAGGUAAC
RNAcentral lists this ribosomal RNA (215 nucleotides) under uncultured bacterium. Its description in RNAcentral is "partial 16S ribosomal RNA". It matches the Rfam family "Bacterial small subunit ribosomal RNA", at positions 1278 to 1500 of the family's 1533-position model. The record is from RNAcentral.